This 64-nucleotide transfer RNA is filed under the name Ixodes columnae. Its description in RNAcentral is "tRNA-Leu". Lineage: Eukaryota; Metazoa; Arthropoda; Arachnida; Ixodida; Ixodidae. RNAcentral also lists the same sequence under 1 other name. The record is from RNAcentral.
UUUAAAGUGGCAGAAUUAUAAUGCAAGGAAUUUAAGCUUCCUGUAUGAUUUUUAUCCUUUAAAA